UAAGAGUUUGAUUCUGGCUUAAAAGUUCGUUUUUUGGUGGUUGAACAUGCAAAUAUUUGUGUAAUUUAACUUUCUUAAUGAUUAAGUUUUUGGUGUUCGCAGUUUUUAAUUUUAAUAUUUUAGGGAACUAAGAUUUAGGUAAUCAUUAAUAAUUCUGACUAAAGUUGUGCCAGCAGUCGCGGUUAUACAACGGGAGUAAACGAUCUUUAUCAGGGACUAUAUUUAAGAUUUAGAAUUUUGUGAAUUGUAAUUUUUAAUUUUUUGGGUGAAAUCUUAAUUUUAAUAAUAGUUUGAAGUUAUUCUGAUUUAAAUAUGAAAUUCCAUUGUAAGACUAGGAUUAGAUACCCUAUUAUUAUGGAUUGUUAAUUUUUCUUAGUAUUAAUAGAUAUGUUCUUUAAAUUAAAAGAAUUUGGCGGUAAUUUAGUCCUUUCAGAGGAACCUGUCCUGUAAUUGAUGAUCCACGAUUAAUUUUACCUUAUUUUAGCUUGUAUACCUCUGUCAUUGAGUGUUUUAUUAGAAUAUUUUCUUAAAUCUUUAUGAGUUUAAUGUCAGGUCAAGGUGCAGCAGUAUUAAGGAAGAGAUGGGUUACAAUAAAUGUAUUUAUGGAUAAAUAUAUGGAAUAUAUAUUUUGAAAAUGGAUUUGAAAGUAAUAGUUGUUAAUAAGCAAUUAUGAUUAAGGCUCUAUAUUAUGCACACAUCGCCCGUCACUCUCAUUAUUAUGAUGAGAUAAGUCGUAACAAAGUAGGCCAACCUGAAGGUGGGCCUAGAAAGAUUU
This 775-nucleotide non-coding RNA is filed under the name Sirthenea flavipes. Its description in RNAcentral is "12S ribosomal RNA". The stretch from base 380 to 766 matches the Rfam family "Microsporidia small subunit ribosomal RNA", at positions 752 to 1303 of the family's 1311-position model. The record is from RNAcentral. Lineage: Eukaryota; Metazoa; Arthropoda; Insecta; Hemiptera; Reduviidae.